RNAcentral lists this ribosomal RNA (465 nucleotides) under uncultured bacterium. Its description in RNAcentral is "partial 16S ribosomal RNA". It matches the Rfam family "Bacterial small subunit ribosomal RNA", at positions 338 to 795 of the family's 1533-position model. The record is from RNAcentral.
CCUACGGGAGGCAGCAGUGGGGAAUAUUGCGCAAUGGGCGAAAGCCUGACGCAGCGACGCCGCGUGAGGGAUGAAGGUCUUCGGAUUGUAAACCUCUUUCAGCAGGGAAGAACGGUCACUGUGCUAAUCAGCAGUGAAUUGACGGUACCUGCAAAGGAAGCACCGGCUAACUCCGUGCCAGCAGCCGCGGUAAUACGGAGGGUGCGAGCGUUAAUCGGAAUUACUGGGCGUAAAGCGCUCGUAGGCGGUAUGUCAAGUCAAGGGUGAAAUCCCCGCGCUCAACGUGGGAACUGCCUUUGAUACUGGCAAACUGGAGUGUGUGAGAGGAUAGUGGAAUUCCAGGUGUAGGAGUGAAAUGCGUAGAUAUCUGGAGGAACAUCAGUGGCGAAGGCGACUAUCUGGCACAUAACUGACGCUGAGGAGCGAAAGCGUGGGUAGCAAACAGGAUUAGAUACCCGAGUAGUC